UAGGGGGCAAGCGUUAUCCGGAUUUACUGGGUGUAAAGGGAGCGCAGACGGAUGGAUAAGUCUGAAGUGAAAGCCCGCGGCUCAACUGCGGGACUGCUUUGGAAACUGUGCAUCUUGAGUACGGGAGGGGCAGGCGGAAUUCCUGGUGUAGCGGUGAAAUGCGUAGAUAUCAGGAGGAAAACCGGCGGCGAAGGCGGCCUGCUGGACCGAAACUGACGUUGAGGCUCGAAAGCGUGGGGAGCAAA
RNAcentral lists this ribosomal RNA (245 nucleotides) under uncultured bacterium. Its description in RNAcentral is "partial 16S ribosomal RNA". It matches the Rfam family "Bacterial small subunit ribosomal RNA", at positions 528 to 772 of the family's 1533-position model. The record is from RNAcentral.